This 447-nucleotide ribosomal RNA is filed under the name uncultured bacterium. RNAcentral's name for it is "bacterial SSU rRNA". It matches the Rfam family "Bacterial small subunit ribosomal RNA", at positions 29 to 521 of the family's 1533-position model. The record is from RNAcentral.
AACGAACGCUGGCGGCAGGCCUAACACAUGCAAGUCGAGCGAGGUAGCAAUACCUAGCGGCGGACGGGUGAGUAACGCGUGGGAACGUACCCUUUGCUACGGAAUAGCCCCGGGAAACUGGGAGUAAUACCGUAUGUGCCCUUCGGGGGAAAGAUUUAUCGGCAAAGGAUCGGCCCGCGUUGGAUUAGGUAGUUGGUGGGGUAAUGGCCUACCAAGCCGACGAUCCAUAGCUGGUUUGAGAGGAUGAUCAGCCACACUGGGACUGAGACACGGCCCAGACUCCUACGGGAGGCAGCGGUGGGGAAUCUUAGACAAUGGGCGCAAGCCUGAUCUAGCCAUGCCGCGUGAGUGAUGAAGGCCUUAGGGUUGUAAAGCUCUUUCAGAUGGGAAGAUAAUGACGGUACCAUCAGAAGAAGCCCCGGCUAACUCCGUGCCAGCAGCCGCGGU